AGGAAGUGGGAUGAUGUCAAGUCAGCAUGGCCUUUAUAUCCUGGGCUACACACACGCUACAAUGGCCAACACAAUAGGUUGCUAAGCCGCGAGGUGGCGCCAAUCCAUAAAGUUGGUCUCAGUUCAGAUUGUAGGCUGCAACCCGCCUGCAUGAAGAUGGAGUUGCUAGUAACCGCAGGUCAGCAUACUGCGGUGAAUACGUUCUCGGGCCUU
This 213-nucleotide ribosomal RNA is filed under the name uncultured Leptolinea sp. Its description in RNAcentral is "partial 16S ribosomal RNA". It matches the Rfam family "Bacterial small subunit ribosomal RNA", at positions 1167 to 1382 of the family's 1533-position model. Lineage: Bacteria; Bacillati; Chloroflexota; Anaerolineae; Anaerolineales; Anaerolineaceae. The record is from RNAcentral.